AUUGAACGCUGGCGGCAGGCCUAACACAUGCAAGUCGAGCGGAGCGGCGGACGGGUGAGUAAUGCCUAGGAAUCUGCCUGGUAGUGGGGGAUAACGUUCGGAACCGGGCGCUAAUACUGCAUCCUAUCAGAUGAGCCUAGGUCGGAUUAGCUAGUGGGUGGGGUAAGGGCCUACCAGGGCGACGAUCCGUAACUGGUCUGAGAGAAUGAUCAGUCAAACUGGAACGGGGACACGGUCCAGACUCCUAGGGGGGGCAGAAGGGGGGAAUAUUGGACAAUGGGCGAAGGCCUGAUCCAGCCAGGCCGGGUGUGUGAAGAAGGUCUUCGGAUUGUAAAGCACUUUAAGUUGGGAGACGUUACCGACAGAAAAGGCACCGGCUAACUCCGUGCCAGCGCCGCGGUAAUUC
RNAcentral lists this ribosomal RNA (406 nucleotides) under uncultured bacterium. RNAcentral's name for it is "partial 16S ribosomal RNA". It matches the Rfam family "Bacterial small subunit ribosomal RNA", at positions 29 to 526 of the family's 1533-position model. The record is from RNAcentral.